GCACUGCUGAGGAGUCCCAUACCAGGACUACACGGCCGUCCAGUGC
Molecule: non-coding RNA, 46 nt
Filed under: Schistosoma margrebowiei
Lineage: Eukaryota; Metazoa; Platyhelminthes; Trematoda; Strigeidida; Schistosomatidae
Source: RNAcentral